RNAcentral lists this ribosomal RNA (486 nucleotides) under Myrmecophilus americanus. RNAcentral describes it as "partial 16S ribosomal RNA". It matches the Rfam family "Bacterial large subunit ribosomal RNA", at positions 1831 to 2582 of the family's 2925-position model. Lineage: Eukaryota; Metazoa; Arthropoda; Insecta; Orthoptera; Myrmecophilidae. The record is from RNAcentral.
CAUCUUGUAUUUAAUAUGAUGUCUGGCCUGCCCACUGAUUGAAAUAAAGGGCCGCGGUAUUUUGACCGUGCAAAGGUAGCAUAAUCAUUAGACUUUUGAUUUGAGUCUUGAAUGAAUGGUUUGACGUAACACUUACUGUUUCGGUUUGAAAUAUUGAAUUUGACUUUUAAGUUAAAAGGCUUAAAUGAGGAUAGGGGACGAUAAGACCCUAUAGAACUUUACAUUGUAUUUUUAUUUUAAUUUGGAUUUUGACAUUGAUUUACUAUUAAUAAUGUUUUACUGGGGUGGUAUUUAGAUAAAUGUAACUCUUUUUCUUUAUAACGUUAAUUGUUGGGUAUUUGAUUCACUUUUGUGAUUUAAGAUUAAGUUACCUUAGGGAUAACAGCGUAAUUCAUUUGGAGAGUUCAUAUUGAUAAAUGGGUUUGCGACCUCGAUGUUGAAUUAAGGUUCCUAAUUGAUGCAGUAGUUUAUUAAGGAAGUCUGUUC